This 551-nucleotide long non-coding RNA is filed under the name Mytilus galloprovincialis (Mediterranean mussel). The record is from RNAcentral. Lineage: Eukaryota; Metazoa; Mollusca; Bivalvia; Mytilida; Mytilidae.
GGCGUCCGUUUGGCUGUGCGGGAUGUAUCAAGUUCGCAGUCACGUCCGGUCAGAAGGGGGACGUUAAAUCCGAGGCCUCGUGUAAAGAGAGUGCCACGCUCUUUGCACGUUAAGAACCCUUGCAACAACUCUUUUGAGGGGUCCGUAGGUGGCCUGUUGCAAGGCAAAAUGUCUGUCCCUAUCCAAAAUACCCUCAUUUUCCAGUGGUAGUCCAAAUUUCCCCGACCAUCAUCUCGGAUGGCCUCUAUCGUAUCGACCUACCUGUUGUAUUUAUUGUGAACUUGUUCUCGUCCUGAAUAUGCAUGAAAUAUUUGCCACUGGACGUUAAGCAACCAACAAUCAAUCAAUCGUAUAUAGUUAUAAAUUCGAAAACAAUUAGCUAGCCAUUACAUUAGUCACGCCUCCUCUGAUAUAUAACCACACCACAUCGUAUUUGUUUGUUGACAACACUUCAAAGUGUGGACAUUUGAAGAAGCGCGAUAUUUACGCAGAAGGUAAGAAAAUUAAAUGUCUUUGCUGCUUAGUUCCAAAAGAUUUAUUUAUUAAACGGA